GAUGCAACAGCAAGAGGCUGAGAAGGAGCAGCAGACCAGGGAGUUACUGGAAAAGAGGAUGCAGGCGAUCAAGUCACUGAAAUCUAACAUAGAAGCCACACAGGAGAGCUUACGGGUUCGACAAAGCAGAGUGAACGCAAAUGCCCAGAAGACAAAACAGCAACAGAGUGAGAUGAGACAAUCUCUGCAGGCUCAAGGCAUCAACAGUACCAAGCACAUGUACCAACAGAAACAACUAGAGAGGCUAAAGCAACAACAGGCGUAAGUCUUCUAUACCCCCCCCUCCUCUCCUCCUAACCCACGUGCAUGUCCUCCACUCCCACUCCAUGCAGCACUGUGUGGGUGUUUUCUCUUACUGUGUGCUAAGGAAAAUAUGACCCCAUUUCACUAUAAUGCAGAGCUGUUGAUUUGCUCUUCUUAGGGAAUUUGAGGAGAAGCAAAAGUCAAACAGGGUGGCGAUUGUGGCAAAGAUUCUUCAGGAGGAGCAGCUGUUAAAGACCAGAAAGAGUCAGCAGGUACUGCUGCCUAAGCCCCCCGUCACUGACAAGUUCCUUUCUUUGGAGAGGGCGAGAGAGAAGCUCUGGCACUCCCUGAACCCCAGCCCACCAUCAUUCACAGAGGAGAGGAUAAUUGUGAGUGGUUCAUAACAAGUGUGGCAGUCGUGAAAUCAAUAUGAAGAGAUCUGAGCAGCUACGAGCCAAUGCGUGUCUUUUUCAGCAAUAUAGAGAGUUUAGUGACAUCAGCGCCACAUCAUCAACUUCCUUUGACAUCGAGGACCUGGAGGAAGCCACGCUCCAGGAAGUGGACCACCAAAGCUUUCCUGACAGUCUUGCUGAGCCUGAGUUUUCUGGGCUUUGGGAGCAGAACUCCAAGAAGCUCUUGGAUGAGAGGAAUACAUUAAACCUGAGAGGCAUAAAUCAGGAAGAGCCUGCAGUGCAGAGUGGAAAGAUCCACAAGUCUACUAAGAAAGCUCAUGGAACAGAGUUGGCGGGGGCUCCGUUCAUCAGCAAGCCUGGUGUCAUCCUGUUUAAGGUACCACAACUUGUGACUCCAGCACUUCCUCACCCUUGCAAGUAUAAAAACCCCUGGGAACAAGGAUGGACAGUGUUUUUAUUAUUUAGCUUUUGCUGGUAGAUUUCUGUAGCAAGUGAAUGCAAAUGCUUCACACAUUUGAAAUGUCUGUUUUUAGGACUUUGAAGUGGGCAAAAUGUAUAAGAAGAAAAUCGUCCUGACGAACACCAGCCACGUGACUAACUACUGCAAGCUGCUCGGGCUGUCUGCGCAGCUGAAGGAUUUUAUUUCUAUCAAGUAAGAUUUCCACAUUGUCAGAAUCUGUAAUCAUGCCUUACUAAACUGCAAAUGAACCGAGAGCAUCAACGCAUCCAGCUGCAUGUUUAGUACUGCACUACACUGCAGAUAAAACGUUAAGUUAAACUCAAG
This 1440-nucleotide long non-coding RNA is filed under the name Betta splendens (Siamese fighting fish). Its description in RNAcentral is "lncRNA (ENSBSLG00000024601.1)". The record is from RNAcentral. Lineage: Eukaryota; Metazoa; Chordata; Actinopteri; Anabantiformes; Osphronemidae.